UUAAAUGAAAUCGAUUAAUCUUUAAAAGUAACUGCUUUUAUUAUUUAAGAAAACAUGAUUUUGAUUUUUAAAUUUCAAUUUCAAAAUGAUCAUCAUAAAAUUUUAAUUCUCUUUUGCUGAAUAAAUAAGAGUAGAAAUAAUUGGAUAAAGCUCAAAUUUAUUUAAUAGAAUGGUAGUCUGUAAAUGACAAGACUCCAUAGAUCUUUACAAAAUUUGAAAAAUGGUAAUUUACAUGGAAAAGGGCUACAUUGA
This 252-nucleotide long non-coding RNA is filed under the name Lathyrus oleraceus (garden pea). RNAcentral describes it as "Pisum sativum (pea) long non-coding RNA (PSAT_LNC023728)". Lineage: Eukaryota; Viridiplantae; Streptophyta; Magnoliopsida; Fabales; Fabaceae. The record is from RNAcentral.